Long non-coding RNA from Lolium perenne, 814 nucleotides. RefSeq lists it as uncharacterized. The record is from RefSeq and is a predicted model, not a curated record. Lineage: Eukaryota; Viridiplantae; Streptophyta; Magnoliopsida; Poales; Poaceae.
ACAGAGUUUUUAGAAGUGUUUGGGCCGGUUUUGGGGUGUUUUUUUGGGGCCCAAUCAAAACACCCGAAAACACCUCAAAACACGUUUGGGCUGUUCGGUAGGCCGGUUUUGGCCCGUUUAGGCCCGACGAAACUCGGCGAAACCCGUCGGGCUGGAGUGGAACUAAAACGCUUCACCCCCCUCGCGUUUUCUCGCGGCUGGCGACGAGGGCGACGCGGCGACGAGGCAGGAAGACGACGCCGCGACGCUCCUGGCGCCGCCGGCCGGGAGCUCCUGCCGCCGCCCCUCAUCGUCAAGCUUGAUUCCUUUAAAGGUCCUGCCGCCGCCGACCUAGAGCUCCUGCCGCGCCCCUCCUCUCCGUCAAAGCUGGAGUCAUUCCUGAGUACCAUCCACCCCGCCGCCUCCUCUCCCUGGUACAUAUUGAUGAGCACGGCUUAGAGAAAACUUAUGUUCAUGCUGCCCUUUUGCUCUGCUUGAAGUUGUCAGAGACCAUGCCUGAAGAUAUUUACUGCUGGCACUUAGCUGAAAUAAUAGUGGAUAAUUAAUUGUGUAGCAAGUCUUUAGCUUCGGUGCCUGAAGAUAUUUGUUGUUGGAACUGAGCUGAAAUCUUAUUUAUUUGCUGUUAAGAUCUGAGCUGAAACCUUAUUUAUUUGUUGUUGGAACUGAGCUGAAACCUUAUUUAUUUGCUGUUAAGAUCUGAGCUGAACCAAUGAUUGAAGAUAUUUGAUGUUAAAUCUUAUUGAAUUUGUAUUUGAAACACUGUACCAAUUAUUGAAUUUUUAUCUAUUCAAUGUAAUUAUUGAAUUUCUAUCUA